GUUAUCCGGAAUUACUGGGCGGAAAGCGAGCGCAGGCUGGUUCUUAAGUCUGAUGUGAAAGCCCCCGGCUCAACCGGGGAGGGUCAUUGGAAACUGGGAGACUUGAGUGCAGAAGAGGAGAGUGGAAUUCCAUGUGUAGCGGUUAAAUGCGUAGAUAUAUGGAGGAACACCAGUGGCGAAGGCGGCUCUCUGGUCUGUAACUGACGCUGAGGCUCGAAAGCGUGGGGAGCA
RNAcentral lists this ribosomal RNA (231 nucleotides) under uncultured bacterium. Its description in RNAcentral is "partial 16S ribosomal RNA". It matches the Rfam family "Bacterial small subunit ribosomal RNA", at positions 540 to 770 of the family's 1533-position model. The record is from RNAcentral.